This 472-nucleotide ribosomal RNA is filed under the name Bacillus halotolerans. Its description in RNAcentral is "bacterial SSU rRNA". It matches the Rfam family "Bacterial small subunit ribosomal RNA", at positions 56 to 507 of the family's 1533-position model. Lineage: Bacteria; Bacillati; Bacillota; Bacilli; Caryophanales; Bacillaceae. The record is from RNAcentral.
GGCAAGUCGAGCGGACAGAUGGAGAGCUUGCUCCCUGAUGUUAGCGGCGGCACGUGAUGAGUAACACGUGGGUAACCUGCCUGUAAGACUGGGCUAACUCCGGGAAACCGGGGCUAAUACCGGAUGCUUGUUUGAACCGCAUGGUUCAAACAUAAAAGGUGGCUUCGGCUACCACUUACAGAUGGACCCGCGGCGCAUUAGCUAGUUGGUGAGGUAAUGGCUCACCAAGGCGACGAUGCGUAGCCGACCUGAGAGGGUGAUCGGCCACACUGGGACUGAGACACGGCCCAGACUCCUACGGGAGGCAGCAGUAGGGAAUCUUCCGCAAUGGACGAAAGUCUGACGGAGCAACGCCGCGUGAGUGAUGAAGGUUUUCGGAUCGUAAAGCUCUGUUGUUAGGGAAGAACAAGUACCGUUCGAAUAGGGCGGUACCUUGACGGUACCUAACCAGAAAGCCACGGCUAACUACGUG